GGGCCCGUAGCUCAGGGGUAGAGCAGGAGCCUUUUAAGCUCUGUGUCGAUGGUCCGAUUCCAUCCGGGCUCA
RNAcentral lists this transfer RNA (72 nucleotides) under Patescibacteria group bacterium. RNAcentral's name for it is "tRNA-Lys". It matches the Rfam family "tRNA". Rfam says of the family: Transfer RNA (tRNA) molecules are approximately 80 nucleotides in length. Their secondary structure includes four short double-helical elements and three loops (D, anti-codon, and T loops). Further hydrogen bonds mediate the characteristic L-shaped molecular structure. tRNAs have two regions of fundamental functional importance: the anti-codon, which is responsible for specific mRNA codon recognition, and the 3' end, to which the tRNAs corresponding amino acid is attached (by aminoacyl-tRNA synthetases). tRNAs cope with the degeneracy of the genetic code in two manners: having more than one tRNA (with a specific anti-codon) for a particular amino acid; and 'wobble' base-pairing, i.e. permitting non-standard base-pairing at the 3rd anti-codon position. RNAcentral also lists the same sequence under 1 other name. The record is from RNAcentral.